Molecule: ribosomal RNA, 328 nt
Filed under: uncultured eukaryote
Lineage: Eukaryota
Description: partial 18S ribosomal RNA
Rfam family: Eukaryotic small subunit ribosomal RNA
Source: RNAcentral
CCCUUAGAUGUUCUGGGCUGCACGCGCGCUACACUGAAGCGUUCAACGAGUAUUCACCUUGCCCGGGAGGGUUGGGUAAUCUUUUGAAAACGCGUCGUGAUGGGGAUAGAUUAUUGCAAUUAUUAAUCUUCAACGAGGAAUGCCUAGUAAGCGCAAGUCAUCAGCUUGCGUUGAUUACGUCCCUGCCCUUUGUACACACCGCCCGUCGCUCCUACCGAUUGAAUGGUCCGGUGAAGCGUUCGGACCGUGGCCUUUGGACGGUUCGCCGUCUGUUGGCUGCGGGAAGUUCGUUAAACCUUAUCAUUUAGAGGAAGGAGAANUCGUAACA